UGGGAUUUAGAUACCCCACUAUUCUAAAAUAUAAAACUCCAUUGAGGUAGUAAAACUUACAAAGGUUUAAACCUAAAUAAUAUGGCGGCUACUUAAAUUAAUUAGGGGAACUUACCACAUAAUUGAUAACCACCAAGUGAACUUACUUAAAUUAUUUUAAUGUUAAUAGUAUGUAUAUCGUCGUUGUCAAGACCGCUCUAAGAGAGGUUUUUAAAAUAAAUAUAAAAAGACAGAUCAAGGUGCAGCCAACAUUUAAGAGUUAAGGCGAGUUACAAUAAAGAUUUUUUAUAAACGGACUCCAAAAUCAAAAAUUUUUCAUGAAGCUGGACUUAAAAGUAAUAAUUAAAUAUAAAUAUAUUUUGAAUUUAUAUAUUAAGUAGUGUACACACCGCCCCGUCCACCCU
Molecule: ribosomal RNA, 404 nt
Filed under: Solatopupa similis
Lineage: Eukaryota; Metazoa; Mollusca; Gastropoda; Stylommatophora; Chondrinidae
Description: partial 12S ribosomal RNA
Source: RNAcentral